This 240-nucleotide unclassified non-coding RNA is filed under the name plant metagenome. RNAcentral's name for it is "partial contains small subunit ribosomal RNA, internal transcribed spacer 1, and 5.8S ribosomal RNA". The record is from RNAcentral.
UUUCCGUAGGUGAACCUGCGGAAGGAUCAUUACUGAGUUAGGGUCUUUAUGGCCCGACCUCCAACCCUUUGUUUAAUCUACCAUGUUGCUUUGGCAGGCCCGCUUAGAAAUGGGCCGCCGGAGACCUUUGAGUCUCUGGUCAGUGCCUGCCAGUAGCCUUUCUAAAUUCAUCUAUAACCGUGUCUGAAUAUACAAAGAAAAAUUAAAAUAAAACUUUCAACAACGGAUCUCUUGGUUCUG